Molecule: microRNA precursor, 59 nt
Filed under: Oryctolagus cuniculus (rabbit)
Lineage: Eukaryota; Metazoa; Chordata; Mammalia; Lagomorpha; Leporidae
Source: RNAcentral
AGAGGUUAACCGUGUUAUGUUCGCUUGUUCAUCAUGAAUAAUACAUGGUUAACCUCUUU